RNAcentral lists this long non-coding RNA (18298 nucleotides) under Gossypium barbadense (sea-island cotton). Its description in RNAcentral is "long non-coding RNA (GBAR_LNC013810)". Lineage: Eukaryota; Viridiplantae; Streptophyta; Magnoliopsida; Malvales; Malvaceae. The record is from RNAcentral.
UUUUUCCUUUAUCAAAAUGGCCUCCUUCAAAGAGAUCAUAUCAACACUCCCAAGAAGAAAAAGCUGGUAUGGCGAUGAUACUUUUUUGUAUCAAGGCUUUUGGUGUGACACAUUUUUUAUUGAAGGAUUAAUGAGAGCUCAACAAAAUUUUCGAUCUCAACCUCCUGAUAUCGUCAUAUGCAGUGCUAUGAAAACCGGAACAACAUGGUUAAAGUCCCUCACUUUUGCCAUUGUAACAAGAUCCACCUUCGAUGAUUCCACUAACCCUCUAUUUAACAAUCUAUCACAUGAUUGUGUACCCCUUUUAGAGGUUGAUUUAGCCCAAUCUUCCACCAAUCGAGACCCUAAAAAUCCUUUGUUAGCCACACAUGCCCCUCACUGUUCUUUACCAAGAUCAAUAAUUGAUUCUAGUUGUAAAAUUGUUUACAUUUGUAGGGACCCUAAGGAUUCAUUAGUUUCGCUUUAUCACUUCUUUGCUAGGUACUUGGCAUCCAAAGACAUGAAGCCUCCUGCUUUAGAAGAGGCCUUUGAGCUUUUUUGCCAAGGUGUAAGCUCUUACGGACCUUAUUGGGACCAUGUUCUAGGGUUUUGGAAAGCAAGUUUGGACCGACCUGAUAAGAUUCUUUUCUUGAAAUACGAAGAAAUGAUAGAAGAUACUAUUUUAUACGUUAAGAAAAUAGCUGAUUUCAUCGGUUAUCCUUUCUCUUUUGAAGAACUUGAAAAAGGAUCAGUCGAAAAAAUCGUAAACAUGUGUAGUUUCGAGAAUUUAAGCAAUUUGGAAGUGAAUAAAAGCGGAAAACACCGUGAGGGAACUCCAGCGGUGAUUGAAAACAAGAUGUAUUUCCGAAAAGGUAAGGUUGGGGAUUGGGAGAAUUAUUUGACACCUGAAAUGGCUGCUCGGUUGGACUCGAUAACGUUGCAGAAGCUAAAUGGUUCAGGCUUAACUCUAUGAUUGAAUAAUAAAGCAGCCAUGGGGUACAUUUUGCCUUCUCUGCAAUUUCGACAUAUUAUGUUUCUAAAAAUAAAUUGUGUAUGCUUUUUGCAAGUAGCAACACUUCUCGUGUUGUUCAUGUUAAGAUCAAUUAAAAGUAUAGUUGGUUCAAUUGAAAUCGAUUCAAUCAAUAAAAUUUGAUAUAAGUUGAUUUGAUUUUGUUAGUUUAAUAUUUAUGGAUAAACUACACCAACUCUCCUAAGUUUUGUAUAAAAUUACAUUUCAGUUACUCAACUUUCAAAAUUUAUAUCAUAGUCACUGACAUGAUCAAAUUGUUACAUUUUUGUCACUCGACUGUUAACUUUAAAGAAGUAACGUUGCACAUAAAUUCAAAAGGUUAAUAGCUAAUUUGGUCCCUGAACUAUAGUUAAAAAAUUAUUUUCACAUUUAAAUAAUUGUAAAAAAGUAAAAAAAAAAGUCUUAAAAAUAAAAUUCAUAUAAAAAACCAGUUGCAGCGAGAAACAACUAAGAAUUUUGCUACUGUCUUUGCUCUUUUUUUCUUUUUUUUUUUCCUCUCUUUUUUCAUGUAGACCGACGUUGGCUCUUCUCUUCCCAAAUCUUUAAAAAUAAUAUAUAGGUUUUAUUUAUAGCUAAAAGAAAAAUAUUGACUUGAAAAGGUGGGUUUGGAGAAGAAGAAUAGCACUUUGUAUUAUAAAUUUAAAAACAAAAACCCAAUCAGUGUAACACCCCAAACCCAAUCUAGACGUUGUGACCGAAUCUUGAAGGUUACAUUAACUUCUUGAAAAUUUAGAUUGUUAUUUUCUGAAAUUUCGACUUGUUUUUCUGUAAAAAUAAAUUCUUAGUAAAAAACUCGUUUUCACUUAUUAGUUGCAAAAAAAAAAAAAAACACCAUUCUACAAUAACGGUUUCUUUAAAACAUUUGUUCUUUACUCAUAAAUUGAAAUAAUAGAAAUACUGUGAACUCGCUUAUUUUUCAGAAAACUAGAUUUCUCAUUUUGUUUUGCAACGAAAAAACUUUAACUUGUUUAAUUUUGAAAAUAAAACAUUUUUUUUAAUUAACAGAAAUCAUGUAGAAAAUUUAAACUAAUUAACUAAAAAAGCAUAGUUGAUUGAAUAUGUGAAAUGUGAUUAAAAACAACAUGUAAAAGAAAAUGCGAAAUGAUUUAUAUGAGUCCGAAGGAUCGAUAUGAAAGUUAAAAAAAAUCAAUAGAUUUGAUGAUUAAAUGAUAUGAUUAAAUGAUAUUUUUUUUAUAGUGGAAAAAGUAGCAUGGUAUGUUAUAAUGAUUUGCCGAUUUGCAUAAUGUAUGUGUCGAAACAAUUUUUUUUAUAAAACGGGAUCGAUUUUAAUUUUGAAAAUGAAAACGAACAUGGGAGUUGCCACCAAUCCUUUUUAUUUAGGUGUGAUCGGAUCACUUUAUAAUUUAAUCAUUUUAAUAAAAGUUUUAAAUUUACUAAAACGAUAAUUUUUGGUCUACAAAAUCCAGAAAAUGGGUUCGGGAGUCAAUUACGCACGAGGAAGGGUUAGCACGCUCGUAACGCCCAGAAAUUGGUACCUAGUUGAUUAAUUAGUGUCUUAGUGUUGAGGAUUGAAAACUUUGAAGAGUUUUAAAAAUACGAUCCUUAAAAAAAACUCGAAUAACAUGGGUUAGAAUUUAGGAUUCUCUUGUUCUGAAGGAAUAUCACAUCCAGCACGUUAGGAUACAAUACUUUAAACCCUUGAAACCAAGAUUACCUUACGGUUUCCAAAACCCAUAUUUUUGAAAUUUUAAGAGGAUAUUUGGCUAUUUGGUCGAACGAGAAAUCGAAACCCAGCACGUUAGGGCGUGUUUUCUCGAAUUUCCAAACGCAAAAUAUUGUCUUAUUUUAAAACUCUUUUUUUUGAAUAAUAGCGAGUACAACACUUGAACGACAUACAUUUGUUUUAUUUAUGAUAAAACAUAAAAGUUUAUUAUAGGUAUAUACAAAUCGAGCGCAACUUUUAAAGUGAUGAAAUGGAAUGAUAAUGGGGCAUGAAAUAACAACUAACGAAUAAAAUGAUACAUUAAUGCAUGACAAGUAUACGAAAACACGAAUAAAUGAAGCAUAGUUCCCACAAUUACAAUAAGCACAGAACAUAUAACAUUUUAAUACCAACAUUAAUAAUCAAAGGGAAAUAAAGAAAUAAUAUAUGAAAUAAUUUGAAGUAAAUAACAAUAUAAAAUAAGUGAUUUAUAAGAACAAUAAAUAAUAAGGGUUUCAAAUAAACAAUCAAUAGGAAUCUUAAAAUAAAUAAUAACAAAACAGUUUAAAAUAAAUAAAUAAAUAAGGUAUGGAACAGUUUUAAAGAAUAUAUGAAAAUUUGAAAGGCAUAUAUAUACAAUUGAUAAUAUAAAUAUUAUGUAAAACCGUUUAAAACAAAUAAUGUAUGGAACUUAAAAUUAAUAAUGCUAACGAGCCUUCUUUUUUUUAAAAGAAUGAAUAUAAAUUAAAUGGGCCUAGGACGAAAUUGAAUUCGAAUUAAAGAGUCGGGUCUAAAUUAAAAAAAAAGGCUGCCGAGGAUCAAAAUAAGAUGCGCCCGAAGAACGAGGGACUUAUUGGGAAAAUAUUUCCUUCCCUCAUGCGCAAGUUCAACACGGACCAGAUUGGAACGAACGGAAAAUCAUGCGGCCUAAAUAAAAAGACAACAUGGAUUAGAUUGCACCACAGCGCAAAAGCGGAGGGACCCCUCACAUAAAUAGACCCUCCAAGCAAAACACGCGGAUCCUGCUACUGGGUCGGGUCGCGCUUGCGGGUUAAGGGCCAAAACAACGUCGUUUUGGUAACUGAACCCUAACUUACAAAACGGCGCCGUUUAAUAACCUUAUUUAAAUCAAAUUUAAAAAAAAAUCAUUUUUUUAGUGUUUAGAGAAAAAAAAAACUUCAAAAUCUCCCAUAUGUCUCUCUCAACCCCACUUGGCCAGCGUGGGUUCCCUCGGAGAAUCUGCUGCACCACCGCCGUCUGCAACUCUCGACUCAACAAUGUUUGUAUAGUUCCUUUACGUUUUGGUAUAUGACAUGUACUUAAGUUUUGAGUUGGUUUUGUAUCUUGGAUGGUCAUUUGGAAAAUUGGAUAGUUGAUGUCAAUUUGAAUUUAUGAAUAUGAGAUGUUUAAGUUAUCAUGAACAUUAUGUGAUGUUUAAAUGGUUAAGUGGUAUAAACGAUCAUAUGUAUUAAGUUAGAUCUGAGUUGUGAAUGGUUAAAUUGAUAAACAUGAAUGAUAAUGACAUAGCAAAGGUAGUAUAUGAAGUGUUGAUGUAGGUAUUAUGCUUGAACGGAUUGGUUUCGCAUUGGUUAUUUUGGUUAUUAGGUUAGCAUGGAUUGGUUCCAUAUAAACAUUUCAAAACAGCAUGUCAUGUUGUAACAAGAAAUUGAUAGUGAAUGAUGUCGCGACUUGGAAUCUCCCAAGUUGUGACGUCAACUCGAUAGUUUUAACAUUUUAUAUUUUAGUCCUUAAACGACCUUAGGUUAUCGAAAGAGCUUUCGUAUGCUCGUAUAAACCUUGGAUAUGUUUGUUAAUAUGAUAUAAUGAUGUAUUGAUCAUAAUUACAUGUAUAAACUGUUGAAUUGAUAAAAUUUAGAUCGUAGUUGUUCCAACAACGAAUGUGACAUCCCAUAACUUGGACCUGCGAUCAAGUAGGGUAUGGGGUUUACGAGAAAGGUGGGCUUCGAGAAGAAGAAUAGCACUUUGUAUUAUAAAUUUAAAAACAAAAACUCAAUCAGUUUAGUAAAUGGAGUUAGAGAAGAAAUAAUGGGUUUAGAAAAGAAGUAGAGCACUUUGUGUUAUAAAUUAAAUGAAAAAAAAAAUCAAAAAUUUCAAAAAAUUGAAACUUACCAAAGAGUCCAAAUAAAUAUAAUAUAAUACAACAUUUUGCUCUUCUCUCUUGCUCGAUAGGCCGUUGGUGGUAGAAGUUUUUAUGAUUCUCAAGAAUGAAAGCACUGUUACCCAAGCCUUGAUAUUGUUUCCUGAAAAUUCGAGCAGCAACAAUCGGUCUAAUAAUUAUAAUUAGUUAGACUUUUCUAGAUAAUAAAAUACUAUUACGUACCAAUUUUACAAACUACUAACAAUAUAUAUUUGACAGUUAAAAGUUUUUUUUUACAUAAAACGAAUAUUUAGAAAAUUUUAAUGUAUGUCAAUCUUGACAUACAUGAUCUAUAUGAAUGGAGUAUGAAAUAUGACGGUAGGAUUGUUAAAAUAAAAAUUGUAUAAAAAGUUACUAAAUUAUGCAAAACCACUUUAAUUUUACAACCGUGUAAGUGAAUUUCUCCUCUUAUUUUAUUUUUUAAGUAUUAUAUUAAUAAUUUUUAUCUUACAUAUUUUAUUUAUGUUUUCUGGGUACAUGUUUUAUCUUAAGAUUUGUAUAAUUCUUUACACAAUAAUAAUUCAUUUUACAUAGUUAUAAAAAAUCAUUAAUUUUACAUAAAUUUUGAUAUAUUAUUAUAUUUUGGUUUAUGUUUAUUUCUAUGUGACAUGAUAAUUUUAAUUAUUUAAAUUUUUUUUAUCUUCGAAUAAAUUUGUCAAAUAAUUUAAUAUUUAAAUCAUUAUAUAUAGUGUACAAAUCAUAUAAUAAAAAAUUAAUCUAACUUUACGAAGCAUAAUGAGCAGGUAUAUUCUAGUGAUAUAUUAAAUAUAUUAUAUAACUCUUUUACAUACUUUUUUUACCUUCAAAAAGUCAAAUUCUUGAUCAUUUUAGUCUCUUUUUUUAUUAUCAUUUUAGUUUUGAAUCAUCAAAUUUCAAUUAAAUUACCUUUUUUUUGGACGUAAAAGGUUGACCUAACAAGUAAACUUUUAAACGUGAUAGCCUGUAUAGUAGUGCAUGUGUAUUUUAUUGUUGACGUGGAUGAUUAUUUUCAAAACUUUUAUGAACUUUUUGAAUUUUUAUUUUUAUUUAAUUUAUGAAGUAAGCGCGGACUUUCAUGUGUGUCACCAUGUCACUUCCGUUAAAAUUUUAAUAGUCCAAUUAAUUUUUCAGUUCAAAGAAAAACAAUUUAACAAAAAUUUGAAAAUUUAAAACAAACCGAUCCAAAAAAGUAUCAAGACAAAUGCAUUUAAGAAAAGAGAAAUUAUUUGGUAUACUGCCGGUAGAGCUUUUAUACUCCACAAGCAAAAUCAGGGGUUAAUAAGUAUCCUAUAGAAAAUACCAAUUUUUUAAGAUUACUUAUAAAAUAAAAUAAAAAUACACUUCACAGUUCACCCCAAUUAUUGUUAACAAAACCUGAUUCCAAAUCUUUUAAAAUAAUACAAAAAAAUCUAUCAACUAGAUUGUUUAGGGACAAAAUCUUGCAUGGGACAGACCUUGACAAUGGGUAAAUAAGCACUAGCUACAUUUUUUAUUUAUUUAGUCCCUAUAAUUCUAUUUCAAUUCAAGAAAUUACGUGGUGGAUAUAAUAAAAAAAUGUUAUUAAAAGCAAAUAAUUUUCGUCACUAAGUUCACAUGGUUCAAUUACAAAAAAAAUAUUGUGCAAUUGUGAAAGAAAUUACCUUUUCUCUAAAGCUAUUUAUAGACCCAAUUUUUGUCAAAAUAUUUGCACUCAUUUCCCCUUUCUUUUUCCUUUAUGAAAAUGGCCUCCUUCAAAGAGAUUAUAUCAACACUCCCAAGAAGAAAAAGUUGGAAUGACUCAAAUAACGACUUUUUUUUGUAUCGAGGCUUCUGGUGUUACUCGUUUUUCAUUGAAGGAGUGAUGUCGGCUCAACAAAAUUUCCAAUCUCAACCUUCCGAUAUCGUCAUAUGCAGUGCACCGAAAACUGGAACAACAUGGUUAAAGUCCCUCACUUUUGCCAUUGUCACAAGAAUCACCUUCGAUGAUUCCACUAACCCUUUACUUGCCAAUCUAUCACAUGAUUGUGUACCACUUUUAGAGGUUGAUUUAGCCCAAUCUUCCAUCAAUCGAGACCCUAAAAAUCCUUUGUUAGCCACACAUGUCCCUUACUCAUCUUUACCAAGAUCAAUAAUUGAUUCCAGUUGUAAAAUUGUUUACAUUUGUAGGGACCCUAAGGAUUCAUUCGUUUCGUUUUAUCACUUCAUUGCUAGGCGCUUGGCAUCCAAAGACAUAAAGCCCCUUGCUUUAGAAGAGGCCUUUGAGCUUUAUUGCCAAGGUGUAAGCAAUUAUGGACCUUAUUGGGACCAUGUUCUAGGGUUUUGGAAAGCAAGUUUGGACCGACCUGAUAAGAUUCUUUUCUUGAAAUACGAAGAAAUGAUAGAAGAUACUGUUUUAUACGUUAAGAAAUUAGCUGAUUUCAUCGGUUACCCUUUCUCUUCUGAAGAAAUCAAAAAAGGGUCAGUCGACAAGAUCAUAAGCAUGUGUAGCUUCGAGAACUUAAGCAAUUUGGAAGUGAAUAAAAGUGGCAAACACCGUGAAGGAACUCCAGGGGUGAUUGAAAACAAGAUCUAUUUCCGAAAAGGUAAGGUUGGGGAUUGGGAGAAUUAUUUGACACCUGAAAUGGCUUCUCGGUUGGACUCGCUAACGUUACAGAAGCUAAAUGGUUCAGGCUUAACUCUGUGAUUGAAUCAUAAAGCAGCCAUGGGGUACAUUGUCCCUUCUUUGCAAUUUCUGCAUAUUAUGUUUCUAAAAAUAAUUUGUGUAUGCUUUUUGCAAGUAGCAACACUUCUCGUGUUGUUCAUGUUAACAUCAAUAAAAAGCAUAGUUGAUUCAAUAUGUGAAAUGUGAUUAAAAACAACAUGUAAAACACAAUGCGAAUUGGUUUAUAUGAGUCCGGAGGACCGAUAUAAAUUUUUUUAAAAAAUCAAUAGAUUCGAUAUAUAAAUGAUAUGAUUAAAUGAUAUGAAUUGAAAUGAAAAUGAUUGUAUUUUUUUAUAGUGGAAAAAGUAGCAUGGCAUGUUAUAAUGAUUUGUCGAUUUUCAUAAUGUAUGAAUCGAGAUAUAUGACAUGAAGAGAUGAAAUUCAAACGUUUGAAUCUUGAAUAUGUUUUCAUUACAUUUUUGUCGAAUUAAUGUUUAUGUUGGUAUGACUUGAUCAUAAAGGUACUGAUGAUCUUUAUUGUUCAAUGCACACUUUGUUUAUUCCAUGUGAGGUAUUAGUUAAUUUCGAAGACUCGAGGAGUGAUCCAACAUCCGAUCUGCAACUCUCGACUCAACAAUGUUUGUAUAGUUCCUUUACGUUUUGAUAUAUGACAUGUACUUAAGUUUUGAGUUAGUUUUGUAUCUUGGAUGGUCAUUUGGAAAAUUGGAUGGUUGAUGUGAAUUUGAGUUUAUGAAUAUGAAAUGUUUAAGUUAUCAUGAACAUUAUGUGAUGUUUAAAUGGUUAAGUGGUGUAAAUGGUCAUAUAUAUUAAGUUAGGUUUGAGUUAUGAAUGGUUAAAUUGAUAAACAUGAAUGAUAAUGACAUAGCAAAGGUAGUAUAUGAAGUGUUUGAUGUAGGUAUUAUGCUUGAAUGGAUUGGUUUCGCAUUGGUUAUUUUGGUUAGGUUUGUAUGGAUUAGUACCAAAUAAACAUUUCAAAACAGUAUGUCACGUUGUAACGAGAAAUCAAUAGUGAAUGAUGUCGCGACUUGGAAUCUCCCAAGUCGUGACGUCAACUCGAUAGUUUUAACAUUUUAUAUUUUAGUCCUUAAACGACCUUAGGUUAUCGAAAGAGCUGUCGUAUGCUCGUAUAAACCUUGGAUAUGUUUGUAUAAUAAGAUAUAAUGAUGUAUUGAUCAUAAUUACAUGUAUAAACUGUUGAAUUGAUAAAAUUUAGAUCGUAGUUGUUCUAACAACAAAUGUGAUAUCCCAUAGCUUGGACCUGUGAUCAAGUUGGGUAUGGGGUGUUACUAGAAAGGUGGGUUUGGAGAAGAAGAAUAGCACUUUGUAUUAUAAAUUUAAAAACAAAAACUCAAUCAGUAUAGUAAAUGGAGUUAGAGAAGAAAUAAUGGGUUUAGAAAAGAAGUAGAGUACUUUGUAUUAUAAAUUACAAGAAAAAAAUCUAAAAUUUCAAAAAAUUGAAACUUACCAAAGAAUCCAAAUAAAUAUAAUAUAAUACAACAUUUUGCUCUUCUCUCUUGCUCGAUAGGCCGUUGGUGGUAGAAGUUUUUAUGAUUCUCAAGAAUGAAAGCACUGUUACCCAAGCCCUGAUUUUGUUUCCUGGAAAUUCGAGCAGCAACAAUCGGUCUAAUAAUUAUAAUUAGUUAGACUUUUCUAGAUAAUAAAAUACUAUUACAUACCAAUUUUAUAAACUACUAACAAUAUAUAUUUGACAGUUAAAAGUUUUUUUUACAUAAAAUGAAUAUUUAGAAAAAUUUAAUUACGUCAACGUUAACAUACAUGAUCUAUAUGAAUGGAGUAUGAAAUAUGACGGUGGGAUUGUUAAAAUAUUAAUUGUAUAAAAAGUUACUAAAUUAUGCAAAACCACUUUAAUUUUACACCGUGUAAGUGAAUCUCUCCUCUUAUUUUAUUUUUUAAGUAUUAUAUUAGUAAUUUUUAUCUUACAUAUUUUAUUUAUGUUUUCUGGGUACAUGUUUUAUCUUAAGAUUUGUAUAAUUCUUUACACAAUAAUAAUUCAUUUUACAUAGUUAUAAAAAAUCAUUAAUUUUACAUAAAUUUUGAUAUAUUAUUAUAUUUUGAAUUUAUGUUUAUUUCUAUGUGACAUGAUAAUUUUAAUUAUUGAAAUUUUUUAUCUUCGAAUAAUUUUGUCAAAUAAUUUAAUAAUUAAAUAAUUAUAUAUAGUGUACAAAUCAUAUUAAAAAAUUAAUCUAACUUUACGAAGCAUAAUGAGCAGGUAUAUUCUAGUGAUAUAUUAAAUAUAUUAUAUAAUUUACAUAUUUUUUUUACCUUCAAAAAGUCAAAUUCUUGAUCAUUUUAGUCUUUUUUUUUUAUCAUUUUAGUUUUGAACCAUCAAAUUUCAAUUUUUUUUGACGUAAAAGUAGAACUACAAUUAAAAUUUUAACGUGAUUAAUGUGGUAGCCUGUAUAGUAGUGCAUGUAUACUUUAUUGUUAACAUGGAUGAUUAUUUUCAAAACUUUUAUGAACUUUUUGAAUUUUUAUUUUUAUUUAAUUUAUGAAGUAAGCGUGAAUUUUCAUGUGUGUCACCACGUUACUCCCGUUAAAAUUUUAAUAGUCCAAUUAUUUUUUCAGUUCAAAGAAAAACAAUUUAACAAAAAUUUGAAAAUUUAAAACAAACCGAUCCAAAAAAGUAUUAAGACAAAUGCAUUUAAGAGAAGAGAAAUUAUUUCGUACAUUGUCGAUAAAGCUUUUAUACUUCACAAGCAGAAUCAGAAGUUAAUAAGUAUCUUAUAGAGAUAUUAUAAAAUAUUAAUUUUUUAAAAUUACUUAUGAAAUAAAAAAAAUACACUUCACCCAAAUUAGUGUAAGAAAAAUAAUACAAAACUUGAUUCCAAAUCUUUUAAAAUAAUACAAAAAAAUCUAUCAACUAGAUUGUUUAGCGACAAAAUCAUGCAUGGGACAGACCUUGACAAUGGCUAAAUAAGCACUAGCUACAUUAUUUAUUUAUUUAGUCCCUAUAAUUCUGUUCCAAUUCAAGAAAUUUCGUGGUGGAUAUAAUAAAAAAAUUGUUGUUAAAAGCAAAUAAUUUUCGUCACUAAGUUCACAUGGUUCAAUUACAAAAAAAAUUAGUGUAAUUGUGAAAGAAAUUACCUUUUCUCUAAAGCUAUUUAUAGACCCAAUUUUUGUCAAAAUAUUUGCACUCAUUUCCCCUUUCUUUUUCCUUUAUGAAAAUGGCCUCCUUGAAAGAGAUUAUAUCAACACUCCCAAGAAGAAAAGGCUGGAAUGACUCAGAUAACGACCUUUUUUUGUAUCGAAGCUUCUAUUAUUACUCGUUUUUCAUUGAAGGAGUGAUGUCGGCUCAACAAAAUUUCCAAUCUCAACCUUCCGAUAUCAUCAUAUGCAGUGCAUCGAAAACUAGAACAACAUGGUUAAAGUCCCUCACUUUCGCCAUUGUCACAAGAACCACCUUCGAUGAUUCCACUAACCCUUUACUUACCAAUCUAUCACAUGAUUGUGUACCCCUUUUAGAGGUUGAUUUAGCCCAAUCUUCCACCAAUCGAGACCCUAAAAAUCCUUUGUUAGCCACACAUGUCCCUUACUCUUCUUAAUUACCAAGAUCAAUAAUUGAUUCCAGUGGUAAAAUUGUUUACAUUUGUAGGGACCCUAAGGAUUCAUUCGUUUCGCUUUAUCACUUCAUUGCUAGGUGAUUGGCAUCCAAAGACAUGAAGCCCCUUGCUUUAGAGGAGGCCUUUGAGCUUUAUUGCGGAGGUGUAAGCUUUGGGACCAUGUUCUAUGGUUUUGGAAAGCAAGUUUGGACCGACCUGAUAAGAUUCUUUUCUUGAAAUACGAAGAAAUGAUAGAAGAUACUAUUUUAUACAUUAAGAAAAUAGCUGAUUUCAUCGGUUAUCCAUUCUCUUUUGAAGAAAUUGAAAAAGGAUCAGUCGAAAAAAUUGUAAACAUGUGUAGUUUCGAGAAUUUAAGCAAUUUGGAAGUGAAUAAAAGCGGAAAACACCGUGAGGGAACUCCAGGGGCGAUUGAAAACAAGAUCUUUUUUCGAAAAGGUAAGGUUGGGGAUUGGGAGAAUUAUUUGACACCUGAAAUGGCUGCUCGGUUGGACUCGAUAACGUUACAGAAGCUAAAUGGUUCAGGCUUAACUCUAUGAUUGAAUCAUAAAGCAGCCAUGGGGUAUAUUGUCCCUUCUUUGCAAUUUCGACAUAUUAUGUUUCUAAAAAUAAUUUGUGUAUGCUUUUUGCAAGUAGCAACACUUCUCGUGUUGUUCAUGUUAAGAUCAAUAAAAAGUAUAGUUGGUUCAAUUGAAAUCGAUUCAAUCAAUAUAAUUUUAUAUAAGUGAUUUGAUUUUGUUAGUUUAAUAUUUAUGGAUAAACUACACCAACUCUCCUAAGUUUUGUAUAAAAUUACAUUUCGGUUACUCAACUUUCAAAAUUUAUAUCAUAGUUAUUAACAUUAUCAAAUUGUUACAUUUUUGUCAUUGGGCUGUUAACUUCUGUUAAAGAAGUAACGUUGCACCUUAAUUCAGAAGGUUAAUAGCUAAUUUGGUCCCUGAACUAUAGUUAAAAAAUUAUUUUAAUUAUUUUAAUUUUUUUUAUCUUCGAAUAAUUUUGUCAAAUAAUUUAAUAAUUAAAUCAUUAUUUAUAGUGUACAAAUCAUAUUAAAAAAUUAAUCUAACUUUACGAAGCAUAAUGAGCAGGUAUAUUCUAGUGAUAUAUUAAAUAUAUGAUAUAACUCUUUUACAUACUUUUUUUACCUUCAAAAAGUCAAAUUCUUGAUCAUUUUAGUCGCUUUUUUUUUUAUCAUUUUAGUUUUGAAUCAUCAAAUUUCAAUUAAAUUACCUUUUUUUUUUGGACGUAAAAGGUUCCCUAACAAGUAAAAUUUUAACGUCAUUGACAUGGUAGACUGUAUAGUAGUGCAUGUGUAUUUUAUUGUUGACGUGGAUGAUUAUUUUCAAAACUUUUAUGAACUUUUUAAAUUUUUAUUUUUAUUUAAUUUAUGAAGUAAGCAUGGACUUUCAUGUGUGUCACCAUGUCACUUUCGUUAAAAUUUUAAUAGUCCAAUUAAAUUUUCAGUUCAAAGAAAAACAAUUUAACAAAAAUUUGAAAAUUUAAAACAAACCGAUCCAAAAAAGUAUUAAGACAAAUGCAUUUAAGAAAAGGGAAAUUAUUUGGUGCAUUGCCGGUAGAACUUUUAUACUCCACAAGUAGAAUUAGGGGUUAAUAAGUAUCCUAUAGAGAUAUAGUAAAAUAUUAUUUUUUUAAGAUUACUUAUAAAAUAAAAAAAUACACUUCACCCCAAUUACCGUAAAAAAAAAUACAAAACUUGAUUCCAAAUCUUGCUCUUUUAAAAAAAUUUUGACUUCACCCCGAUGUGCUAAAAGUGUUUUAAUUAGAUCCUAGACUCAAUAGAUUAAACUCGUUUAGUGGAGUUUUAUCAUUCAUGUUAUAUAAGUCAUUCUAAAAAAAAAAAAACCCUAUAAAAAGGAUCAUCUUUAAGUCAUUCAAUACAACUUCAAAAGUGCAUAAAAUAUCAAAAUCUGAACAGAAGAUUUUGAUGACUAGAAGUUGUUUCUUAAAAUCCUAAAAAAUUGAAAAACUUAAAUAAAUUCUAAAGAAUGUCACAUCUUUUUGAUACAAUGACUAAGACUACCUAUAGCCACCCUCAACACUUAAACAGAGGGAUAAUAAGCUUUAGUACACUUGAAUUCAAGUUCUCCCCAACCCAAAUAUAAAAAAUAAAACCCAAACCCAAAUUAAUAUUUAUAAAUUUAUAGUCCCAACUUUAUAUAAUUUAGUUAUAAGUUUAAUGUAUAUUAUAUACAUAAUACAUAAAUAAUUUAAUUAAAAACCUAAAUCCUGCCUCAUUUACCAAUUCCCAAAUCUGAAAUUCCUAUCCCAAAACCUUGCACCAUUUACACUGCCAUCAGCCCCUCCUCGACUGUCACCUACUACUGCAGGCCACACGACCACACCCGUCCAGCGUCCACCACCAGCAAGCAAUUGAAAGCAAAGUAGCAAGGAUAAUGCGGCCAUGGAAGGCAAGAAUUGAAGACAAAGAAGAAAAGGAAAGGAAAGCAAGCUUUAUCACGUAAUAGAAGGUUUGAAUGUUUAAAAGAGAUUUCUCAUGCAAUUUGGUUGGAUUAAUUAGGUUAAUCUCUAAUUUUUGGUUUAUUUGAUUAUUGUUAUAAAAAAAUUGAAUCGAUUUAGUGCACACCUUAUUUUUUUUUCACCUUCUAUAUUCUUUCAUGAUCUUAUUGAUUCGACCAUAAAUUUUUUUUAUGAUAUGGAAUAAAAUUCUAAUCUAUUAGAUGUGAAUUGCUCUAAUCUAAGCAUAAUUAUUGUACAAUUUUGUUAAAAAAAUGAAACUAUAUAUUUUGAAAUAAUUAUGAAUAUAUUAAUAUUAGUCUGUUGAUGUGAACAAUUAUUUUUAAAACUUUUAUAAGAUUUUUUAUUUUUUAAUUUUAAAAAGUACACACGUUCUUUUAUUCGAGUUAUCAUGUUACUUUCAUUAAAAUAGUACAAUUAAUUUUUGUGUAAAAUUUAAAAUACACUUCACCUUUAAAAAAUAAAAAAAUGCAUAGGACAGCACUAACUACAUUUAUUUAUUAAUUUAGUUCCUAUAACUCUACUCCAAUUCAAGAAAUCACGUGGUGGACAUAAUAAAAAACUGAUAUUAAAAGCAAAUAAUUCUCCACACUAAGAUCACAUGGUUGAAUUAAAAAAAGUUGAUUGCGUAAUUGUGAAAGAACUUACCUUCUCUCUGAAGCUAUUUAUAGAUCCAAUUUUUGUCAAAAUACUUGCACUCAUUUCUCCUUUCGUUUUUCCUUUAUCAAAAUGGCCUCCUUCAAAGAGAUCAUCUCAACACUCCCAAGAAGAAAAGGCUGGACUGACUCAAAUAACGACCUUUUUUUGUAUCGAGGCUUCUGGUGUUACUCGUUUUUCAUUGAAGGAGUGAUGUCGGCUCAACAAAAUUUUCAAUCUCAACCUUCCGAUAUCGUCAUAUGCAGUGCACCGAAAACUGGAACAACAUGGUUAAAGUCCCUCACUUUCGCCAUUGUCACAAGAACCACCUUCGAUGAUUCCACUAGCCCUUUACUUGCCAAUCUAUCACAUGAUUGUGUACCCUUUUUAGAGGUUGAUUUAGCCCAAUCUUCUACCAAUCGAGACCCUAAAAAUCCUUUGUUAGCCACACAUGUCCCUUACUCUUCUUUACCAAGAUCAAUAAUUGAUUCCAGUUGUAAAAUUGUUUACAUUUGUAGGAACCCUAAGGAUUCAUUCGUUUCGUUUUAUCACUUCAUUGCUAGGCUCUCGGCAUCCAAAGACAUGAAGCCCGUUGCUUUAGAAGAGGCCUUUGAGCUUUAUUGCCAAGGUGUAAGCAAUUAUGGACCUUAUUGGGACCACGUUCUAGGGUUCUGGAAAGCAAGUUUGGACCGACCUGAUAAGAUUUUUUUCUUGAAAUACGAAGAAAUGAUAGAAGAUACUGUUUUAUACAUUAAGAAAUUAGCUGAUUUCAUCGGUUAUCCUUUCUCUUCUGAAGAAAUCAAAAAAGGGUCAGUCGACAAGAUCGUAAGCAUGUGUAGUUUCGAGAACUUAAGCAAUUUGGAAGUGAAUAAAAGUGGCAAACAUCGUGAAGGAACUCCAGGGGUGAUUGAAAACAAGAUCUAUUUCCGAAAAGGUAAGGUUGGGGAUUGGGAGAAUUAUUUGACACCUGAAAUGGCUGCUCAGUUGGACUCGAUAACGUUACAGAAGCUAAAUGGUUCAGGCUUAACUCUGUGAUUGAAUCAUAAAGCAACCAUGGGGUACAUUGUCCCUUCUCUGCAAUUUCGACAUAUUGUGUUUCUAAAAAUAAUUUGCGUAUGCUUUUUGCAAGUAGCAACACUUCUCGUGUUGCUCAUGUUAAGAUCAAUAAAAAGUAUAGUUGGUUCAAUUGAAAUCGAUUCAAUUAAUAUAAUUUGAUAUAAGUGAUUUGAUUUUGUUAUUUUAAUUUUUAUGGAUAUACUACACCAACUGUCCUAAGCUUUGUAUCAAAAUUACAUUUCGGUUACCCAACUUUUAAAAUUUAUAUCAUAGUCACUAACAUUAUCAAAUUGUUACAUUUUUGUCACUCGACUACUGUUAACUUCUGUUAAAGAAGUAACGUUGCACCUUAAUUCAGAAGGUUAAUAGUUAAUUUGGUACCUGAACUAUAGUUAAAAAAUUAUUUUCAUAUUUAAAUUUUUUUUUACAAUAAUUGUAAAAAAGUAAAAAAAAGUCUUAAAAAUAAAAUUCAUAUAAACAAGAAACAACUAAGAAUUUUGCUACUGUCUUUGCUCUCUCUCUCUUUUUUUUUUUUCUCUUUUUUCAUGCAAGUCAACGUUGGCUCCGCUCUUCCCUAAUCUUUAAAAAUAAUAUAUAUAUAGGUUUUAUUUAUAGCUAAAAGUAAAAUAUUGACUUGAAAUUUGAGAGAAGAAAGGUGGGUUUGGAGAAGAAGAAUAGCACUUUGUAUUAUAAAUUUAAAAACGAAAACCCAAUCAGUGUAACACCCCAAACCCAACCUAGACAUUAUGGCUGAAUCUUGAAGGUUACAUUAACUUCUUGAGAAUUUAGAUUGUUAUUUUCUGAAAUGUCAACUUGUUUUUCUGUAAAAGUAAAUUCUUAUAAAAAAACACGUUUUCACUUAUUAGUUGCAAAAAAAAAAAAAAUCCAUUCUACAAUAAGGGUUUCUUUAAAACAUUUGUUCUUUAGUACUAAAUUGAAAUAAUAGACCUAUAGUGAACUCGCUUAUUUUUCAGAAAAUUAGAUUUCUCAUUUUGUUUUGCAGUGGAAAAACUUUUACUUGUAUAAUUUUGAAAAUCGAACAUUUUUUUUAAUUAACAGAAAUCAUGUAGAAAAUUUAAACUAAUUAACUAAAAACUGAACAAAACCCAAAUCCAAAAUAAAAGUUCAAAAAUUAGUUCGACAGUCCAAAAGUCCAUAAAUUUUAAUUAAUAAUUAUUUAAAAUGAUCUUAUGCAAGAAAACUAAUACGAGCUCCCGAGUGCCGCCCAAUCCUAAUCCCGUGGGUUACCUGAAAUAUUAAGCAAGUGGGUGAGCUAAAAAGCUCAGUGUGUGCCUUACUCUACCCGUAAACAUGGACAAAUAACUCUACCAGUAAACAAUUCUACUAGUUGAAACAUGGAAAACACAACAAACAUAAUUUUGACCAACAUAAAGCCCACCAAUUUAAAUGACCCAAUCACCCUUCAAAAACCUAUCAAUACCUUCAUCUACUUAGCUUAAAAUUAGAUCAUCUAAAUUCCAAAUUAAGGCCACUCAAUGCAUAAGGUUGAUUUUAAAGGAGUUUUAUAGAUGUGAUUUAAAAGCACUAAAAUCACAUGGAUGAAUUACAAAAAUUUUACUGUGUACUCGUGAAAUAAAGUAACUUUAUUUACAUAGACCAAUUUUUAUUAAAAUAUUUGCACUCAUAUCCCUUUUUGGUUUAUUUGAUUAUUGUUAUAAAAAAAUUGAAUCGAUUUAGUGCACACUUUAUUUUUUUUUCACCUUCUAUUUUUUUUCAUGAUCUUAUUGAUUCGACCAUAAAAUUUUUUUAUGAUAUGGAAUAAAAUUCUAAUCUAUUAGAUGUGAAUUGCUCUAAUCUAAGCAUAAUUAUUGUACAAUUUUGUUAAAAAAAUACUUUAUUUUAUGAAACUAUAUAUUUUGAAAUAAUUAUGAAUAUAUUAAUAUUAGUCUGUUGAUGUGAACAAUUAUUUUUAAAACUUUUAUAAGAUUUUUUAUUUUUUAAUUUUAAAAAGUACACACGUUCUUUUAUUUGAGUUAUCAUGUUACUUUCAUUAAAAUAGUACAAUUAAUUUUUGUGUAAAAUUUAAAAAUGCACUUCACCUUUUAAAAAUAAAAAAAUGCAUAGGACAGCACUAACUACAUUUAUUUAUUAAUUUAGUUCCUGUAAUUCUACUCGAAUUCAAGAAAUCACGUGGUGGACAUAAUAAAAAACUGAUAUUAAAAGCAAAUAAUUCUCCACACUAAGAUCACAUGGUUGAAUUAAAAAAAGUUGAUUGCGUAAUUGUGAAAGAACUUACCUUUUCUCUAAAGCUAUUUAUAGAUCCAAUUUUUGUCAAAAUACUUGCACUCAUUUCUCCUUUUGUUUUUCCUUUAUCAAAAUGGCCUCCUUCAAAGAGAUCAUCUCAACACUCCCAAGAAGAAAAGGCUGGACUGACUCAAAUAACGACCUUUUUUUGUAUCAAGGCUUCUGGUGUUACUCGUUUUUCAUUGAAGGAGUGAUGUCGGCUCAACAAAAUUUUCAAUCCCAACCUUCCGAUAUCGUCAUAUGCAGUGCACCGAAAACUGGAACAACAUGGUUAAAGUCCCUCACUUUCGCCAUUGUCACAAGAACCACCUUCGAUGAUUCCACUAGCCCUUUACUUGCCAAUCUAUCACAUGAUUGUGUACCCUUUUUAGAGGUUGAUUUAGCCCAAUCUUCUACCAAUCGAGACCCUAAAAAUCCUUUGUUAGCCACACAUGUCCCUUACUCUUCUUUACCAAGAUCAAUAAUUGAUUCCAGUUGUAAAAUUGUUUACAUUUGUAGGAACCCUAAGGAUUCAUUCGUUUCGUUUUAUCACUUCAUUGCUAGGCUCUCGGCAUCCAAAGACAUGAAGCCCGUUGCUUUAGAAGAGGCCUUUGAGCUUUAUUGCCAAGGUGUAAGCAAUUAUGGACCUUAUUGGGACCAUGUUCUAGGGUUCUGGAAAGCAAGUUUGGACCGACCUGAUAAGAUUCUUUUCUUGAAAUACGAAGAAAUGAUAGAAGAUACUGUUUUAUAUGUUAAGAAAUUAGCUGAUUUCAUCGGUUAUCCUUUCUCUUCUGAAGAAAUCAAAAAAGGGUCAAUCGACAAGAUCGUAAGCAUGUGUAGU